UACGGGGGGAGCAAGCGUUGUUCGGAUUUACUGGGCGUAAAGGGCGCGUAGGCGGUCGUGACAAGUCACUUGUGAAAUCUCCGGGCUUAACUCGGAACGGUCAAGUGAUACUGUCGGACUAGAGUACAGAAGGGGGCAACUGGAAUUCUCGGUGUAGCGGUGAAAAUGCGUAGAUAUCGAGAGGAACACCUGCGGCGAAAGGCGGGUUGCUGGGCUGAUACUGACGCUGAGGCGCGAAAGCCAGGGAGGCGAACGGG
This 257-nucleotide ribosomal RNA is filed under the name uncultured bacterium. RNAcentral describes it as "partial 16S ribosomal RNA". It matches the Rfam family "Bacterial small subunit ribosomal RNA", at positions 524 to 776 of the family's 1533-position model. The record is from RNAcentral.